Andrographis paniculata is the source of this 3807-nucleotide long non-coding RNA. RefSeq lists it as uncharacterized. The record is from RefSeq and is a predicted model, not a curated record. The transcript is spliced from 3 exons. NCBI's taxonomy places the organism in Eukaryota, Viridiplantae, Streptophyta, Magnoliopsida, Lamiales, Acanthaceae.
AAUAGGUAGCAGCCAAAAGCCUUGAAUCAAAACCAAUAGCCCAUGCACUCAAGUCAUGCUCCAUUAUCAGUGCAACAAUCCCAGUCUCUACAGUCCCAAUUAUGCAUAUUAGAGCUGCUAGUGACAUCUCUGCUGGGAUGAAGAAGCCAGCCCAGCUAACAAUACAGCUGAGCAACAAGAUCGUGCCCAUGACCCAGUGCUGAUCUGUGGCUGUGCUGGCGGCGUCAUGGUGGCUGAUGCCAUGGGAGUAUGGGAUAAUGUUGAUCGCAGGGCCUCUGUAGAGUGUCAUGAGCAUGGCUCCGGUCACUGUUAUUCCUGUGCCAAUCACCUUGGCCAAGCUGGGUGCUUUCCUUAGAGACAUGGAAAAUGGAUGAAUUAGUUUAGUUCGUGAUCUAUUUUACCUGAAGAUGACAGCCAUGAUGAAGGUGACUGCAGGCAACAUGUUCACAGUGGCGGAUGCAAAUGUUGCUGAUGUGUACUUCAUGCCCAGGUAGUACAAGUUCUGAUCUACGACUGGCCUGAUUUAUUUAUAACAUUACGUAAUGAAAUUAUUAGUUUAGUUAGUAAUGUUAUUGGAUAAAGGUUUAUGUGAUUAAUAAUCAUGCAAAGCUGGCCCCAAGUAAAUGAAUUAUAAAUCUAGGAGUAAUUGGCAUAAGAAUAAUGCAUGGUUCUUUGGUUAUAAAUUACAUCACAUUAUGUUGCAUUGAAUAACAUAGCUACACUUUUGAAAAUGAACGAUUGUGGUUAAUAAUAUAACAUACUCAGUGCAUGCAUAUAGUGGUUUAGCCUUACUUUUUUGAUCUAGUGUUUAGUAAUGAGUACUUCUUUGUAAUUAAUAAAUAUCAUUAAACUUACAUGUUACUCAGAUUUUCAAAUAAUAUAUAGCGUGUGGCCCUGAUGCAUGAGUGAGAUUUAUGAGACCAUAAUAUAAUUUAUUAAUCAAAAUGAAGCUAUAAUCAUGACCGCUCUUAACUACCUAGGAUGUGAAGUAAGGUUCUUUUAGCCACUUAAACUAGAUAGCCGUGUGUGUCCAUGUGUCCAAGAAAUCCUCAUGCUAGAACAGAAGUAACUAUCAGCAGUUAGCACGCACAAGAAUUAAUAAUGUUGGGUUCAAGGACAUUACUCUAGGAAACCCAGCACAAGUAGCUUCAGAAACAGCUUUUUCGUCAUCUUUGGCCUUAUUUUCCUGCAAACCAGACCCAAAUGCAUAAGAAGCACGCACAUGCAAAUAUAUAUAUAUAGAGAGGGGUGUGUUUGUGUGCGAGAGCAGUUAGGGUUAUAUUAGUGAAUUACUUUUCAAGAAAAUAAGCAAAGGGAGCAAUAGCAAUGGUAGCAGUGACAUGGCGGUAGCAAACCAAAACCCAGUUACUGAAACCACGCCUCAUGGAGACAAGGCUUAUUAUGUACAUCCCUGCAUAACCAAACUGCAGGGCCAACAUAGCCAAAUAAGGCUUCAAUUUAUGGAACAAUUCCAUAACCACACUGCUACCCAUCUUCCUUCUACUAUUACUACUGCUAGUCUCUUUCUCUCUCUCUCUCUAGAUCUUCCCUUAUAUGAUGCUGAUAUUAACCCAAUCUAUGGCACGGCAUAAACAAAGGGUUUGCGCCCUUUUUAUAACACCCAUAAAGUAACAGAAAGAGAAUCUUGCUUGCAUUGCAUGUAAGAAUAAUAUAAUGGGGUUAAUGUUUUUUUUUUUUUAAAAAAAAAAAGAGAAGGCAAUGAAGCUUAUGCGGAGUGAGUGUAUGAUGUAUGUAUAUGAUGAUGUAAAAUAUUCUUGAAUAUUAUUAAUGCAACAUCUAUAUGUUUGUCACUAAACUGAUGCAUGAGCUUUAAAUUGUCCUUUAUAAUAUGAUUCCCUAUCCAACUGCUGAAAAUACUGUCUGCAUGUUAAGAAUCUUUGCCUAUUUAGUGAAAAGGAUUGCACCAAGGAGUUUCCAUGGAUCUGAUCUGAUUUCCUUUAUUUCAUUUCUUGUAAUUAUUAUUAUUAUUAUUAUUAUUAUUAUUAUUAUUAUUAUUAUUAUUAUUAUUAUUUUACUAUAUAUUUGAAUAUGGUGUAUUAUUAGGAAUGUGGGGUUGAUAUUUUUUGACCAACAAGUGCUAUUAUGGCUAAGUGGUGUCUGAUUAUGUAUUGUAGGGCUUCUUUGGUUUCUUUCAAGUGUGGAGGAUGAGUGGACACUUUAAUGGCAAAAUAAUGGGUUGCAUAAUUAGCCUAAAUAUUUUGGGGGUGGGUAGAGGUGUACUAAUUUGGCAUUGCAUUUUAGUUUAAUUAGGGCUUUUAUUCUUUUGCAUUCAUAUCGUAAGCUAUAUGUUCAGAUUUCUAUCUAUGAAUUUAUUCAUUUAUUUUUGGUAGUGAAUGUUUUGUUAACAUGAAAAAAACUUGUUACAUAAUAUUCUCUCUAUUGCAUAUUAGUUUCAUAAGAAUGUAUAUAAUAUUCCGGCUAUUAGCAAAAUUCAAGCUCUCAUUUUUGAUUCAAUAAAAUGAAAUGAGAGCUUGAUACAUGUUCAGAUUUCUUUCUAUCAAUUGGUUGAUUGAUUUAUAUUUUUUUGCCACAUUCUCUUUAUGUAUAUAAUAUUCUCAGCUAUUAGCAAGCAAAACAAUAGCUUCGUUUAUGCAAUUGACAAAAAGAAACUAGAUUUUGUUUUAGUGAACUUUUGGGUCUCCGUCCUUUAGAGAUUGCAGUUAUAAUAUUGAUGACUAUCACAUUAUAUAUAAUUGAUGAGUUUUAGUUAUAAUAUUGAUGACUAUCACAUUAUAUAUAAUUGAUGAGUUUUAUAAAUUGUAUGAGAAUCGGGUAGUUGGAUCAUUUUAAGCCUAGCUAGCUAUUCAACUUUUUGAAUGAUUUGCUUGUUGAUCAUUCAUAGGAUCACUACUUGUGUUAGUGUAUGUGACGUCUAUUUUCUUUAUUAUUUAUUUGAUUUUUCAAUUAUUUUAUCAGGGCUAUUAAGAAAUAUCUCAAAUAUUAUAUUCUUCUCAUUUAUGCAUAAUUAAAGUGAUGCAAGAUAAAUUAUUGUUAUUAUUAGCAUAUUGCAGAUUUGCAGUGUGUUCAUUCUGGAAUUGCCUUAAUAAAAUAAAGUUGUUUGUUUUUACGUACAAUCAUGAAUCAUGUGGUUGGCUAAUUAAUUCAUGUAUAUUGAUUUUUUAUAAGGAUUUUGGAAUCUAUAGCUUACACAAUUAUUUUUUAAAUUUCAGAAAUUUUGUGGGAUCUAAAAUAUUUUUUCCUCAAAAACAUCAAAUUAAACACCUAUUUUUUAUUUUUUAUAUUAUACUAAAAAUCAAUUUUACAUUCAAAACAUCACAAUUCAAAAUUUUUUACUAUUUAAAUCUCUAAUCAAAAUCCAAACCUCCAAACAAACACACCUAAUGAGCAACACUUUCAUUGAAUUGAUUGACAAAGUGUAGAAAUGAGAGAUGUUAAGAAGGAAUAAAAGUCGUACUUUAAAUUUGCCUUGCGUGGAAGAAAUUGAAUGUCUAAUUAGCAUUGCUUUUGAGUUACCUUUUUUUUGUGAAAAGAAUUUUUAAUUAGAGAAAUAAGUGAAUAUAUUAGGGAAAAUUGCAAAAAAUACAUUUACGUAUAUCCAAUUAUCAUUUUCGAAUAUAUAUAUAUUUUUGCAAUUUAGGACAUUACGUGUAUUUCGGACAUUUAUGCCCUCUGGUGCUGGAAAAACGCACGUGACCGUCAGUAUACGUGGACGCCGUCAUUGCUAUGUUGUCGUCCGCGUGGUCGUCGGACAGGUGACACGGAAUUAUUGUUCUUUCACUUUCGCAAUUUAGAACAUUAUGUAUAUAUCGGCUAUUAUUUUUGUCU